CUCAAAUGUGUGAGGAGGUCUCCAUCAGUGAAGCUAUUCAAGAAGAGAGUAGAUGUCAACUGUUGAAAGUUAGAAGAACUACGUGUGAAGCCAGAGUUCUUCAGGCAAGACCAAGCCAAGGGUUUUCUAGAACUAUACCACUGUAUUGUCUGUCAGCAAACUGCUUAUUACCCACAUACCCAGAGUAACGGAACUUGCGCCUGAAUGUAUAUUGGCUACAUCACCAUACACACUGCUGAAGUCCAUUGACGCUUUUUGUGGCAAGACUUUCUAGAUGGAAGAAAUGCUGCAUUGAUUUACGAUCUAGUAAGCUCCUCAUUGUCGAGCACUGCGUUGAGUAGCUGCUCUAGAAUUUGGCCCAUCACUCUUCCUUCCUCCCUGUCUUGGCACUUGUCUUCUAUAACUGUUUACUGUCUGUCUCUGCAGCUAGGCUAUGCACUCCUUGUGCACAGGGAUUUGAGCUUAUGCACUGUGUUCCCUUGGUAUCAGUACCAUUCAGUUGGAAUUGGCA
This 511-nucleotide long non-coding RNA is filed under the name Equus caballus (horse). RNAcentral's name for it is "lncRNA (ENSECAG00000056486.1)". Lineage: Eukaryota; Metazoa; Chordata; Mammalia; Perissodactyla; Equidae. The record is from RNAcentral.